CGCGUAGGCGGAAUAGUAAGUUAGAGGUGAAAACCAUGGGCUUAACUCAUGGCCUGCCUUUGAAACUGCUGUUCUUGAGUGCGGUAGAGGGAAGUAGAAUUCCUGGUGUAGCGGUGAAAUGCGUAGAUAUCAGGAAGGACACCGGUAGCGAAGGCGGCUUCCUGGCCCGCAACUGACGCUGAGGCGCGAAAGCGUGGGGAGCAAACA
Molecule: ribosomal RNA, 207 nt
Filed under: uncultured bacterium
Lineage: Bacteria
Description: partial 16S ribosomal RNA
Rfam family: Bacterial small subunit ribosomal RNA
Source: RNAcentral